AGUGAACGCUGGCGGUAGGCCUAACACAUGCAAGUCGAACGGCAGCACAGUAAGAGCUUGCUCUUACGGGUGGCGAGUGGCGGACGGGUGAGGAAUACAUCGGAAUCUACUUUUUCGUGGGGGAUAACGUAGGGAAACUUACGCUAAUACCGCAUACGACCUACGGGUGAAAGCAGGGGAUUUUCGGACCUUGCGCGAUUGAAUGAGCCGAUGUCGGAUUAGCUAGUUGGCGGGGUAAAGGCCCCACCAAGGCGACGAUCCGUAGCUGGUCUGAGAGGAUGAUCAGCCACACUGGAACUGAGACACGGUCCAGACUCCUACGGGAGGCAGCAGUGGGGAAUAUUGGACAAUGGGCGCAAGCCUGAUCCAGCCAUACCGCGUGGGUGAAGAAGGCCUUCGGGUUGUAAAGCCCUUUUGUUGGGAAAGAAAAGCAGCAGGUUAAUACCCCGCUGUUCUGACGGUACCCAAAGAAUAAGCACCGGCUAACUUCGUG
Molecule: ribosomal RNA, 493 nt
Filed under: uncultured bacterium
Lineage: Bacteria
Description: partial 16S ribosomal RNA
Rfam family: Bacterial small subunit ribosomal RNA
Source: RNAcentral